This 253-nucleotide ribosomal RNA is filed under the name uncultured bacterium. RNAcentral describes it as "partial 16S ribosomal RNA". It matches the Rfam family "Bacterial small subunit ribosomal RNA", at positions 524 to 776 of the family's 1533-position model. The record is from RNAcentral.
GACGUAGGGCGCGAGGCGUGUCCGGAUUUAUUGGGCGUAAAGAGCUCGUAGGCGGCUUGUCGCGUCGAAUGUGAAAUCUCAGGGCUCAACUCUGACAUUGCAUUCGAUACGGGCAGGCUAGAGUUCGGUAGGGGAGACUGGAAUUCCUGGUGUAGCGGUGAAAUGCGCAGAUAUCAGGAGGAACACCGGUGGCGAAGGCGGGUCUCUGGGCCGAUACUGACGCUGAGGAGCGAAAGCGUGGGGAGCGAACAGG